GACGGGUCGACGGCCUGGACCGUCUGCGGGGUGGGCGCGGCCUGCGGUUCGGGGGCGGACGAGGGCAGCGGUUCCGCCCGCUUCUCGCCG
Molecule: transfer RNA, 90 nt
Filed under: Rhodococcus sp. T7
Lineage: Bacteria; Bacillati; Actinomycetota; Actinomycetes; Mycobacteriales; Nocardiaceae
Description: tRNA-His
Source: RNAcentral